RNAcentral lists this ribosomal RNA (156 nucleotides) under Laminaria pallida. RNAcentral's name for it is "partial 18S ribosomal RNA". It matches the Rfam family "Eukaryotic small subunit ribosomal RNA", at positions 1676 to 1831 of the family's 1831-position model. The record is from RNAcentral. Lineage: Eukaryota; Phaeophyceae; Laminariales; Laminariaceae.
UCGCACCUACCGAUUGAAUGUUUCGGUGAAGAUUCCGGACCGUGGCUCGCGUGCUUCACGGCGCUCCUGCCGUGGGAAGUUAUCUAAACCUCAACAUUUAGAGGAAGGUGAAGUCGUAACAAGGUUUCCGUAGGUGAACCUGCGGAAGGAUCAUUA